GACGAACGCUGGCGGCGUGCUUAACACAUGCGAGUCGAACGGUAAGGCCCUUCGGGGUACACGAGUGGCGAACGGGUGAGUAACACGUGGGUGAUCUGCCCUGCACUUCGGGAUAAGACUGGGAAACUGGGUCUAAUACCGGAUAGGACCACUGCCUGCAUGGGUGGUGGUGGAAAGCUUUUGCGGUGUGGGAUGGGCCCGCGGCCUAUCAGCUUGGUGGUGGGGUGAUGGCCUACCAAGGCGACGACGGGUAGCCGGCCUGAGAGGGUGACCGGCCACACUGGGACUGAGAUACGGCCCAGACUCCUACGGGAGGCAGCAGUGGGGAAUAUUGCACAAUGGGCGCAAGCCUGAUGCAGCGACGCCGCGUGAGGGAUGACGGCCUUCGGGUUGUAAACCUCUUUCAGCACCGACGAAGCGCAAGUGACGGUAGGUGCAGAAGAAGGACCGGCCAACUACGUGCCAGCCGCCGCCGUAA
RNAcentral lists this ribosomal RNA (478 nucleotides) under uncultured bacterium. RNAcentral's name for it is "partial 16S ribosomal RNA". It matches the Rfam family "Bacterial small subunit ribosomal RNA", at positions 28 to 523 of the family's 1533-position model. The record is from RNAcentral.